Molecule: ribosomal RNA, 301 nt
Filed under: uncultured bacterium
Lineage: Bacteria
Description: partial 16S ribosomal RNA
Rfam family: Bacterial small subunit ribosomal RNA
Source: RNAcentral
CAGCCGCCGCGGGAAUACAGAGGGUGCGAGCGUUAAUCGGAUUUACUGGGCGUAAAGCGUGCGUAGGCGGCUUCUUAAGUCGGAUGUGAAAUCCCUGAGCUUAACUUAGGAAUUGCAUUCGAUACUGGGAAGCUAGAGUAUGGGAGAGGACGGUAGAAUUCCAGGUGUAGCGGUGAAAUGCGUAGAGAUCUGGAGGAAUACCGAUGGCGAAGGCAGCCAUCUGGCCUAAUACUGACGCUGAGGUACGAAAGCAUGGGGAGCAAACAGGAUUAGAUACCCCUGUAGUCCCUGUCUCUUAUAC